Canis lupus familiaris (dog) is the source of this 73-nucleotide non-coding RNA. The record is from Rfam. NCBI's taxonomy places the organism in Eukaryota, Metazoa, Chordata, Mammalia, Carnivora, Canidae.
ACCUGGCUAGCUUAGUUGGUAGAGCAUGUGACUCCUGAUCUCUGGGUUAUAAGUUUGAGUCCCAUGUUGGGUA